UACGUAGGGUCCGAGCGUUGUCCGGAAUUAUUGGGCGUAAAGAGCUCGUAGGCGGUCUGUUGCGUCGGCUGUGAAAACCCGGGGCUCAACUCCGGGCCUGCAGUCGAUACGGGCAGACUAGAGUUCGGUAGGGGAGACUGGAAUUCCUGGUGUAGCGGUGAAAUGCGCAGAUAUCAGGAGGAACACCGGUGGCGAAGGCGGGUCUCUGGGCAACAACUGACGCUGAGACGCGAAAGCGUGGGGAGCAAACAGG
This 253-nucleotide ribosomal RNA is filed under the name uncultured bacterium. RNAcentral describes it as "partial 16S ribosomal RNA". It matches the Rfam family "Bacterial small subunit ribosomal RNA", at positions 524 to 776 of the family's 1533-position model. The record is from RNAcentral.